This 468-nucleotide ribosomal RNA is filed under the name uncultured bacterium. RNAcentral describes it as "partial 16S ribosomal RNA". It matches the Rfam family "Bacterial small subunit ribosomal RNA", at positions 28 to 507 of the family's 1533-position model. The record is from RNAcentral.
GACGAACGCUGGCGGCGUGCUUAACACAUGCAAGUCGAACGGAAAGGCCCUGCUUUUGUGGGGUGCUCGAGUGGCGAACGGGUGAGUAACACGUGAGUAACCUGCCCUUGACUUUGGGAUAACUUCAGGAAACUGGGGCUAAUACCGGAUAGGAGCUCCUGCUGCAUGGUGGGGGUUGGAAAGUUUCGGCGGUUGUGGAUGGACUCGCGGCUUAUCAGCUUGUUGAUGGGGUAGUGGCUUACCAAGGCUUUGACGGGUAGCCGGCCUGAGAGGGUGACCGGCCACAUUGGGACUGAGAUACGGCCCAGACUCCUACGGGAGGCAGCAGUGGGGAAUAUUGCACACUGGGCGGAAGCCUGAUGCAGCAACGCCGCGUGCGGGAUGACGGCCUUCGGGUUGUAAACCGCUUUCGCCUGUGACGAAGCGUGAGUGACGGUAAUGGGUAAAGAAGCACCGGCUAACUACGUG